RNAcentral lists this ribosomal RNA (384 nucleotides) under uncultured bacterium. Its description in RNAcentral is "bacterial SSU rRNA". It matches the Rfam family "Bacterial small subunit ribosomal RNA", at positions 29 to 410 of the family's 1533-position model. The record is from RNAcentral.
AUUGAACGCUGGCGGCAUGCUUUACACAUGCAAGUCGAACGGCAGCACAGGGAGCUUGCUCCCGGGUGGCGAGUGGCGCACGGGUGAGUAAUACAUCGGAACGUGUCCUGUUGUGGGGGAUAACUGCUCGAAAGGGUGGCUAAUACCGCAUGAGACCUGAGGGUGAAAGCGGGGGAUCGCAAGACCUCGCGCAAUUGGAGCGGCCGAUGCCCGAUUAGCUAGUUGGUGAGGUAAAGGCUCACCAAGGCGACGAUCGGUAGCUGGUCUGAGAGGACGACCAGCCACACUGGGACUGAGACACGGCCCAGACUCCUACGGGAGGCAGCAGUGGGGAAUUUUGGACAAUGGGGGCAACCCUGAUCCAGCCAUGCCGCGUGCAGGAUG